Sorghum bicolor (sorghum) is the source of this 402-nucleotide long non-coding RNA. RefSeq lists it as uncharacterized. The transcript is spliced from 2 exons. NCBI's taxonomy places the organism in Eukaryota, Viridiplantae, Streptophyta, Magnoliopsida, Poales, Poaceae. The record is from RefSeq and is a predicted model, not a curated record.
AAGUAAUCCUCUCAUAGCUAGAUCUCAGAAAAACGAAACAACAGCAAUAUUCUCGUCUUCAUGGCAUCGUCAAUCAAGACAUGUACUAGGAUUGUGUACUUGGCUGCUGCUUUGAUCUUGGUUCUUGGGAUCAUGGCUACUUUUCCAUCAUGCCAAGCUGGAGGCUGCCCUGGAGGGAUAAAGGCGGAAUAUUGCUUCAGAUGUACACCCUGCAUAAAUGAUUUAUGCAUACCUUAUUGCGGAACACACGGAUACAAGGUGAAAGGUUCCCACUGUGUUAAAAGAAAUAUUGGCGAGGAGUGCUGCUGUAAACUGUAAUUAAUGCAGCCAUGCAUUUUCCAUGAUGAAAGUUAAAUAAGAUAAUUCGCAAUGGAAAAUUUCAAAUGGAUGAAAUAUCUUUAA